This 30-nucleotide small RNA is filed under the name Bombyx mori (domestic silkworm). RNAcentral describes it as "ovarian small RNA-12598". Lineage: Eukaryota; Metazoa; Arthropoda; Insecta; Lepidoptera; Bombycidae. The record is from RNAcentral.
AUGCCCUUUUCCGCCCCCCAUGAAUGGGUC